ACCUACAAGCGGUGGAUCACUCGAAUU
This 27-nucleotide ribosomal RNA is filed under the name Oligonychus perseae (avocado spider mite). Its description in RNAcentral is "partial 5.8S ribosomal RNA". RNAcentral also lists the same sequence under 1 other name. Lineage: Eukaryota; Metazoa; Arthropoda; Arachnida; Trombidiformes; Tetranychidae. The record is from RNAcentral.